Molecule: ribosomal RNA, 253 nt
Filed under: uncultured bacterium
Lineage: Bacteria
Description: partial 16S ribosomal RNA
Rfam family: Bacterial small subunit ribosomal RNA
Source: RNAcentral
UACGAAGGGGGCUAGCGUUGCUCGGAAUGACUGGGCGUAAAGGGCGCGUAGGCGGCCUGUUAAGUCGAACGUGAAAUCCCUGGGCUCAACCCAGGAACUGCGUCCGAUACUGGCAGGCUUGAAUUCGGGAGAGGGAUGCGGAAUUCCAGGUGUAGCGGUGAAAUGCGCAGAUAUCAGGAGGAACACCGGUGGCGAAGGCGGGUCUCUGGGCCGAUACUGACGCUGAGGAGCGAAAGCGUGGGGAGCGAACAGG